UUAACUGAAACCAAAAAGAGGUAUAUUAUUGUUAAUAAUAAAACUGAAUAUAUUAUUCCUGUUAAG
This 66-nucleotide transfer RNA is filed under the name Nasutitermitinae sp. RNAcentral's name for it is "tRNA-Asn". The record is from RNAcentral. Lineage: Eukaryota; Metazoa; Arthropoda; Insecta; Blattodea; Termitidae.